Molecule: ribosomal RNA, 429 nt
Filed under: Bacteroidota bacterium
Lineage: Bacteria; Pseudomonadati; Bacteroidota
Description: Bacteroidetes bacterium partial 16S ribosomal RNA
Rfam family: Bacterial small subunit ribosomal RNA
Source: RNAcentral
UAGGGAAUCUUCGGCAAUGGGGGGAACCCUGACCGAGCAACGCCGCGUGAGUGAAGAAGGUUUUCGGAUCGUAAAGCUCUGUUGUUAAGGAAGAACGAGUGUGAGAAUGGAAAGUUCAUGCUGUGACGGUACUUAACCAGAAAGGGACGGCUAACUACGUGCCAGCAGCCGCGGUAAUACGUAGGUCCCGAGCGUUGUCCGGAUUUAUUGGGCGUAAAGCGAGCGCAGGCGGUUAGAAAAGUCUGAAGUGAAAGGCAGUGGCUCAACCAUUGUAGGCUUUGGAAACUGUUUAACUGGAGUGCAGAAGGGGAGAGUGGACUUCCAUGUGUAGCGGUGACAUGCGUAGAUAUAUGGAGGAACACCGGUGGCGAAAGCGGCUCUCUGGUCUGUAACUGACGCUGAGGCUCGAAAGCGUGGGGAGCGAACAGG